RNAcentral lists this ribosomal RNA (486 nucleotides) under uncultured Bacteroidota bacterium. RNAcentral describes it as "bacterial SSU rRNA". It matches the Rfam family "Bacterial small subunit ribosomal RNA", at positions 28 to 507 of the family's 1533-position model. The record is from RNAcentral. Lineage: Bacteria; Pseudomonadati; Bacteroidota.
GAUGAACGCUAGCGGCAGGCUUAACACAUGCAAGUCGAGGGGUAACAGGAAGUGCUUGCACUUUGCUGACGACCGGCGCACGGGUGCGUAACGCGUAUAGAACCUACCUUAUAUUGGGGGAUAGCCCAGAGAAAUUUGGAUUAAUACCCCAUAGUAUUGGGAUGUGGCAUCACAACCUAAUUAAAGAUUUAUCGAUAUAAGAUGGCUAUGCGUUCUAUUAGCUAGUUGGUAUGGUAACGGCAUACCAAGGCUACGAUAGAUAGGGGCCCUGAGAGGGAGAUCCCCCACACUGGUACUGAGACACGGACCAGACUCCUACGGGAGGCAGCAGUGAGGAAUAUUGGACAAUGGAGGCAACUCUGAUCCAGCCAUGCCGCGUGCAGGAAGACUGCCCUAUGGGCUGUAAACUGCUUUUAUAGAAGAAGAAACCGCUCUACGAGUAGAGCUCUGACGGUACUCUACGAAUAAGGAUCGGCUAACUCCGUG